GAUGAACGCUAGCGGCAGGCUUAAUACAUGCAAGUCGUGGGGCAGCAGGUUUGUAGCAAUACAGAUGCUGGCGACCGGCAAACGGGUGCGGAACACGUACAGAACCUUCCUUGAGCGGGGAAUAGCCCAGAGAAAUUUGGAUUAAUACCCCAUAGUAUAAUGAAGUGGCAUCACUUUAUUAUUAAAGAUUUAUCACUCGAAGAUGGCUGUGCGGCUGAUUAGGUAGUUGGCGGGGUAAAGGCCCACCAAGCCUGCGAUCAGUAACUGGUGUGAGAGCACGACCAGUCACACGGGCACUGAGACACGGGCCCGACUCCUACGGGAGGCAGCAGUAAGGAAUAUUGGUCAAUGGAGGCAACUCUGAACCAGCCAUGCCGCGUGGAGGAUGAAGGUCCUCUGGAUUGUAAACUUCUUUUAUAUGGGACGAAAAAAGGCUUUUCUAAGUCGUCUGACGGUACCAUAUGAAUAAGCACCGGCUAACUCCGUGCCAGCAGCCGC
RNAcentral lists this ribosomal RNA (498 nucleotides) under uncultured bacterium. RNAcentral's name for it is "bacterial SSU rRNA". It matches the Rfam family "Bacterial small subunit ribosomal RNA", at positions 28 to 518 of the family's 1533-position model. The record is from RNAcentral.